Molecule: long non-coding RNA, 269 nt
Organism: Papilio polytes (common Mormon)
Lineage: Eukaryota; Metazoa; Arthropoda; Insecta; Lepidoptera; Papilionidae
Exons: 3
Source: RefSeq, a predicted model, not a curated record
UGCAGGUGCGUCCGUGACUUUCGAUUGUGCGGCGGUGGGCUAUCCCAAGCCAGAGAUGAUCUGGCUUAACAAUGGAGUCGCCAUUGACCUCAAUGACUUGGAUUCGCGCUUCUACCUGGUGGGGUCGGGGUCCCUGCGCGUGCAGAGUGCACGUGCGUUGGACGCGGGCGUGUACACAUGCCGCGCACACAACCGCAUUGACUCUGCCGACCACUCUACGCAGCUGCAAGUCCUGACUGCGCCGCGGGUGAGCCUGCCCGGGGGCGCGG